RNAcentral lists this ribosomal RNA (232 nucleotides) under uncultured bacterium. RNAcentral's name for it is "partial 16S ribosomal RNA". It matches the Rfam family "Bacterial small subunit ribosomal RNA", at positions 796 to 1041 of the family's 1533-position model. The record is from RNAcentral.
CACGCCGUAAACGUUGAGAACUAAGUGUUGGGGAGACCCAGUGCUGAAGCUAACGCAUUAAGUUCUCCGCCUGAGGAGUACGCACGCAAGUGUAAAACUUAAAGGAAUUGACGGGGGCCCGCACAAGCAGUGGAGCAUGUGGUUUAAUUCGUGGCUACGCGAAGAACCUUACCAGGGCUUGACAGGAAACUUAAGACCCUAGAGAUAGGGGGAUAAUAAGUGAAACAGGUGG